Molecule: long non-coding RNA, 1550 nt
Filed under: Homo sapiens (human)
Lineage: Eukaryota; Metazoa; Chordata; Mammalia; Primates; Hominidae
Description: HSALNT0054669
Source: RNAcentral
GCAGAGUUGAUGCCACUUUUCAUUCUCUGAUGGACCUAGUCCAAACAAGUUCCUGCCCUGGGCCUCAGUUACCCCUCUGAACUCCCAAUGACAGGCUGGGGCUUGUAGGCUCUUGGGGCCCAAGGUGGGCCUGCUGAGGGAGGCAUGCAGGAUAGGAGUUCAGGGGUGCUCCCCACAGCCAGACGGCAGGCCUUGGGCAUUAACCUGCCUGCUGCUUGCUGGCCUGGCCCAAAUCUCUGUUGUCCUUCCUUGUUCAGCUAACCUGGAUAAGUGACUGGCUUGGGCUGGGCUGGGUUAGUCCUGGGUCCCCGCCCAUAGUGUAGGCUCCCAUCCCAGGCCUCAUACCAGCACGAGUCAGUGUCUUGUAGAUGGGGCACAGGUAAAAGUCCUGGUCCUGGGCCUUGCGGUUGGGUGUUGGCAAGAGCCAGAUAACGGCCAUCUCUGUGUACAGCUCCUUGGGCUGAGACUCAGCCAGCUGGAAGGCCUCUGGAUCCCAGCGGGCACCUUCCAGGAAUAAUCCAUGGAUAUAGCACCCUACUUGGGGUCUUUGUGUUAACUCUGAUGGUGCCUCAAACAUCACCUGUGGGUAGACACAGACACACCCCACACACAUAACAAUACCCAGAAUCUGGGUUAGGAGGCACAAAACUCCCUUCUGAGAGAGCUGCCUAAUGCUGCCUGCCUGCCCAUCAUCACGUACCUACCACUUUAGCCCAUGGCCUGUGGUCUGUGCCCUGCCCCUGUGGAUUUCUGAUGGACCCAGCCCAGACCCGUUCCUGGGACUCAUGGCCUCUUCUGGCUUGGGUCUUUCCAUGCCCUGGCUUAGGGGUCCCCCAACUGCCAACCAACCGUGGCCUCAGAGCCUCUCCUCCCUGGGCUGUACCCUAGCCUGUCACCUGACCUGGCCCUGGCUGUGCCCAGACCUUGAAAUCAAAGGAGAUGGUGUCAAUGGAGAUGACAAAUUUGCGGGCAAAAUUCUGCAGAGUGCCUGUUAAGAAAGCCUGGGGGAAGAAGAAUCCACUGAUCCAGAAGACAGCUGGGAUGCCAUCUUGGAUCCAGGCCUGCAGAAAGUCCAGGCGUUGCAGCAGGUCCAUGACCCAUGAUGACAGAGGCUUGAGCGAUGGGUAGGCCUUGGCACUCCAGAGCUCAGGCACAGUAUUGUUGUACAGGCUGGCAGCCAUCAGCUCCAGCUGAGAGGACAUCACUACCAGCCCCUUGAGUGCCUUGAGUAGGUCUUGCAGUGUCUGUGUGAUCACCUGCAGCAGCCGAUUGUACCUGUGAGGCCAGUGGCAAGAGAAUAGGUAGUGGGCUGGGGUCACGUGGCAGUAGCUAUGCUCCGCAGCUCAAGGCCACAGAGUGAAAAACAAUGGCAAAACAUAGAGGCUAAGAGCAGAGAGCUGGGUCAGGUGGCCUGGGUACAAAUCCCAGCUCUGGCCCUUAGCACAUGUGUGAAGUUGGACUUGGAUAGCUUACGGAACAUUUUGGGGUCACAGUUUACUCGUCUACAAAAUGUGAAUAAUAAAAAUAUGGCUGAGUUGGCCAGGUGCGGU